Non-coding RNA from Onychomys torridus (southern grasshopper mouse), 73 nucleotides. NCBI's taxonomy places the organism in Eukaryota, Metazoa, Chordata, Mammalia, Rodentia, Cricetidae. The record is from the annotation of a RefSeq genome assembly.
UGGAGAUGUAGCUCAGUGGCAGAACAUUUGCCUAGUAAGCAUAAGGUCCUGGGUUCAAUCCCCAGCGCCCCAA